RNAcentral lists this unclassified non-coding RNA (4065 nucleotides) under Stylophora pistillata. RNAcentral describes it as "tetratricopeptide repeat protein 28-like, transcript variant X2". Lineage: Eukaryota; Metazoa; Cnidaria; Anthozoa; Scleractinia; Pocilloporidae. The record is from RNAcentral.
CACGUUUAGUCUAGACCAGCAGAGCUCUUUCGUUAUCGAGUGGUCAUCAAGUUUUGUUUAAGAAAAGUCACCUGGUCCUUGGUUAAAAAGAAAGUGGACUGCGAAGAUGUUCUUCGAGUUCUCUUCAUUGGUUUAGCAGUGGUGUCAGUUUUGUUCCAGACAUAUCGACAUGUAAAGGCUAUUGAAAUAUUGAAUGAAUGCCUAAAUGUUCUGAAAAUAUACGCUUCAAAUUUUGAAAUAAAAGGGGCAAACGCUCUUUUUGGGCUGAUCUACCACAAGUUGUUUUACCUUUACAAGUUCGUUGGCGAUUGCAAGAAUGCGAUUCAAAUUGGGGGGGAGGCAAUCCAAGCAUAUCUUCUAAUGGGUGAUGUUCGACAUGCAGCUGAAUUACUCGGAAUAGUUGGCAAUGAGUAUCAGAUAGCUGGGGAACAAGUGAAAGCCAAAGAAAGAUAUGACACAGCUUUCAGAAUAUUUUACCUGAGGGAAGUCAACCAACUCGAGCAAUUUGAUAUGUCAGAUAUCGAGAGAAGGGAACAUUUAAAUAGAAUGCUAUUAAUGGAAACAAAAGCUGACAACAAGACAGGGCAAGGAAUCAUUCUUUCCCAGCUUGGAGAAACGGCGAGGUCUAUUUUCGAUCACCCUGGCGCCAUGGACUUCUUUAAAAGGGAACUUGAAAUCUGGAAAGAAAUUGGUAAUAAAAAGAAACAUGGAGAUACUCUUCGGCGCAUCGGUGAAUUGCUGUAGGAUAAUGAAGAAUACGAACAAGCCAAACGUUAUUACAGCAAGGCAGUGGAAAAACUAAAGGAGGCUGAUGCGAAUAAAGAGCUGGGAAUGGCCUUGACUGAUCUUGGGAGAAUAUGUGACAUGCUUGGCGAAUUUCAAGAUGCAAUAAGUUCCCUACAGAAAUCCCUCGAAAUCAGCUUGGAGAAUGGAGACAAACAUGAAGAAGUCUUGAAUCGUCGAUUUCUUGGCGAUGCCCACACCUCCGUUGGAGAAUAUGACAAAGGGAAGAAAUGUUACGACGAGACUUUGGCACUCAGUAGGAUCGCAGGGGACAAAAAAGGUGUGGCACUUGCAUAUAGCGGUUUAAGGAGUUUUUAUCGCCGAAAAAACAAAAUUGCAAAGGCAGCAGAUUAUGGCGAAAAGGCAAUCGAAAUCUACUCUGACAUUGGUGACUUACGUCUGGAAGGAAUCGAAAAUUGCGAACUUGGAGAUAUUUGCUCGUUUACUAGUAGAUUUGAGGAAGCAGUAAAGUAUCACACUCGAUCUCUUGAGAUUAAAAGGAAAACUGGCGAUAGAAAAGGAGAAGCACAACAAUACGGUAACCUUGGUGUUGUUUACCAGAAUUUGGGUGAUCACUGUAAAGGAAAGCAUUACCAUGAAAGAGCACUGGCUAUCAACAAAGAAACCAAUCACCUGGUAGGUCAAGGAGUAGACUACAGCAAUCUCGGCAGUGUUUACCAACAUCGUGGUGAAUCUUCCAGGGCAUACCAUUACUACAGGAAGGCAUUAGAGAUCAAUUUUCGAACUCGAAACCAAGAAGCAAUAGCUGCUGGUUACUGUCAAUUGGGAAUUUGCUCUCAGAAUGAAGGAAAGUAUGAGGAGGCUAAGAAACUUCGUUGGACUGGUCUUAAAAUUGCAAGCAGGCUUGGUUAUAGAAAUAUGGAGGCAACUAUAUUAUGCGACUUGGCAAAAAUUUACUCUGUUAUUGGCGGGUCCGAAAAAGCAAUGGACUCUUACAAAAGGGCAGAGGUAAUCUUCAAAGAAGUUGGAAAUAGCGCGAAACACGCAGAAGUACUCGCCAACAUCGGGUCUGUUUAUCAGUCGGACGGCGAUAAACUAACAGCUAUAAAAUAUCUGAGAGGAUCGUUAGACAUUAUCAAAGGAAUUGAAAGCCAGGAUGUGGAGGCUUCUACUUCGGCCAUACUUGCAGGUCUGCAUGUUUCUUUAGGCGAAUAUGCUGAAGCAAUACCUUUAUACAAGUGCGCUCUCAGAAUAGCGAAAGAAACUGAAAAUAAACGACUGGAAAUGCAGAUGAACAUGCAUGUACAGAUCAGUUGGAAAAUGCCCUUCCAUGUUUCAAAGAGGCACUGUCGCUUUGCGAAAUGAUGGAAGACAUACGAGGUAUAAGUACUUGCUGUUGUAAUAUAGCAACCGUAUAUGCUGUGACCCAAGAUCUUCCAAAUAUCAGGUUGUAUCUUAAGAAAAGCAUUAAGGUUUUUGAGAAGAUUCGGGAAGUUCUUGGAGAAAGUGAAGAUUUCAAAAUAGGCUUUGCCGACAAACAUGAUGCUCCUUACCAAUUAAUGAUUGCCAUUUUGAUCAAAUUAGGAAACACUGACCUUGCCUUGUCAGUUGUGGAGCUUGUACGUGCUAGAUCACUGGCAGAGUUGAUGGUUGAAAGAUAUUCCGCACCGCCUUUGCCUGACUUGGAUUCCAGUCAAUUAAUUGAUUUCCAUCAUGUUGUCAAAGAUAAGAAUACGCCCUGCAUAUCAUUCUGUUUUGUACAAGGACAUCUUUCUUGUUGGACCUUGAAGGCUAACCCAGAAAUCACGCUAAGAGAGGUCAAAACAGAUGGUUUGCCUUUAAACAUCCGACCUAAAGGUAUUUCGACAGUAGACUGGGUAGAGAAUCUUUUGAAUCAGUUUUACAGACAGUUUUCACCUUUUCCAGAAGAGCAGUGUGAAAAUCGUUUGCUGUUACUUCGAGAUAGAGACUCUGAGGGACGAUCCCCCGCCAAGCCGCAAGAAAGCCCAAAAGUUGAACAAAGCCAAAACGCCUGCCACGUCAAGAAGAAGUAUGAAGGAGGUUCAAAUGAAGAACCACUCAUCAGUGUUGUAUAAGGACAUUAUAGCUCCUGUGGUUGAUCUUCUGGAAGGAUCUGAGAUAGUUGUCGUCCUUGAUCGUUCGCCAUACAGAGUUUCAUUUUCUGCGUUGAUGAACGAGAAAGACGAAUUUCUAGGAAAAAAGUUUAGGAUUCGAUAUACUCCAUCUUUGACGACUCUUAAGCUGAUCCAAGACAGUCCUGAAGAUGAUCACAGUGAGACAGGAGUUCUCCUUGUUGGCGAUCCUGAUGUUGGUACACCUGAUCGAUUACCAUGUGCUAAAGAAGAAGUUGAGAUGAUUGGAUAUAUUCUUAAUGUUCAACCCUUAACUGGUAAAGAAGCUACCAAGGAAGCGGUACUACAGAAGAUACACUCUGUAAGUCUCAUUCACAUUGCUGCACAUGGUGAAGAAGAGAAAGGUAAUAUCGCAUUAGCUCCAUCCAACCGUGAGAAGGACGACUUUCUGUUGACAAUGGUCGAUAUCUCAGCAGUCAGAUUGCGAGCCAAGCUGGUGGUGCUCAGUUGCUGUCACAGUGGAAAAGGCCACAUCAAAGGUGAAGGAGUUGUUGGAAUAGCUCGAGCCUUCUUAGGAUCUGGCGCUCGCUCAGUGUUGGCGUCUCUAUGGGCUAUGGACGACGAAGAAACCAUGGAGUUCAUGAAGCAAUUCUGCGAACACUUGGUAGAUGGAAAAAGUGCCAGUGAAUGUCUUCAUGAAACCAUGAAAUGGAUGAGGAAGAAACCUAAAUACUCGGAAGUGAAAGAUUGGGCACCAUUCGUGCUGAUUGGAGAUGACCUGUCAUUCAAAUUCGUGUAUUGAAUUGAAAGAAAGAACUUUCUCGAUGAAGGUGAAAGCAACAGGUUUCUCAACGCGAUAAAGCCUUGAACGAUCGAUUCCGUUAUAGAGGAACUUUGAGAGUAAAUUUAAGUGUAGCAUUUAAUCCUAGAACUUUAUCGGACUUGUCUGUCAUUUGAGAACAGCACAAUAGUAUCUUCAGAAGUGCGAAGACGAAGACAGACAAAAAAAAGCAACUCGUGUCGCCGAAAAAGAAGAAGAAAAAGAGAUGAAUAUUUUAUUUUAAUUAUGUUAAUGUGAAUUACAAUACUUAUUUGAAAAGCUGGAUCUGUACACAGGUUUUUAAAAUGUAACUGUCAUGAUCAACUGACCUCGUGUGUCCAACUGAAAAAAUAAUUCUUUGAUGGUUCAACUUGAAAAAAUGAUAAUUGGAAAAGUUCUGAUAAAAGA